This is a long non-coding RNA of Piliocolobus tephrosceles (Ugandan red Colobus), 1324 nucleotides long. The record is from Ensembl. Lineage: Eukaryota; Metazoa; Chordata; Mammalia; Primates; Cercopithecidae.
AAUAAUAUUACACUUAACGCCGAUGGAAGUAAUGGCGAUUUUCAUUGUGAUAGUACUAAUAAUGUGUUAGAACAUAUUACUCAUUUGUUAAAAUGUAAUGAAAGUAUAAACAAUUUAGAAGAAAUUCAAGAAUCUGUACAAAGCUUUUUAACCAAUAUAGAUAAUCAAAUUAAUAUGCUACAAACCCAUGAAAAUAAUACAGAUAUAUUUUUUUUUCUUCAAAAUAAUGAUAUAAAUACUAUGAUGAAAAAUAGUUUGGAAACACGUUUAUUAUUAGAGUAUAAAAACAAAAUCGAUGAUUUAUUAAUACAUAAAGAGAAGGUAGAUUAUUUUUUAACUAGUGAUAAAGCGAAAAAGUCUAUGAAAUUAAAAAAUAAAACUAUUAAUUAUUUAAUGCAAAAUAAAAAAUAUAUAGAACAACUAGUUAACCAAUUGAAAAACAGUGACGAACAAAUGUUACAUUACACAAAACAACAUCAAACAUUAACAAAUUCAAAAAAUAAUAUGUAUCACGAUACUUUAUGUUUACAAAACAACUUAAGUGAUAAUAAAAUGGAAAAUGAAUCAGGAGUUAAUAAUAUGGGAGAGCAAACUAUACUAUGUUUGGAAGAUGUUACAAAAAAUAAAAAUAAUAAUGAUUGUGUUAAUGGUACAAGUGGGGAUAUAAGAAAAAACUGUACUGAUAUAGAAUGGCCAAAUAUAUCUAGUACAUACGAAAAGACGUUAUACGAAAAAUCGUAUAAUGUAGUAAAAAAAUUAAAAGAAAUGAGAAAAAAUAAAAUGGGCACUAAUUUUGACUGUGAUAACAGCAAUAACAGUGGUAAUAACAGUAGCAAUAACAGUAACAAUAACAGUAGCAACAACAAAAACAACUAUACGAAUAACUGUUGUAACGAUAUGAUGAAGUUAAGCAAACUAAUUUUGGGAGUUCCAUUAAUAAAAGACUUUGAAAAAGGAUUAACUACAAACCAGCCAGCGUUACCUCUAAGUGACCAUUUAAAAAAUUUAUCAAUUUGUAUUAAAUGUUAUAACAAACAUCACGAUUUGGCUAAAUCAGUUAUCUGUAGAAUUACUAAAACGCAUUUUGAAUCGAAUAAUAAUAAUGGAUUAAGUGAAAAAGAUUUAUUUAAGGAGACUAGUGAAUGUGCCCAAUCAAUUAUUCACGAACUAGUUAAUGUGAUUAAAGAAUAUCGAAAAAAAGAAUUAGCUGGUGCUUAUAUAAUGCAACAACAGAGUAUCGACAAAAUUGGUACAUUUGGUGGUUCUAUUGCUAGUGUUGCCAGUAAAAGUAAUAAUAGUAGUGUUAGUGGUAGUGUUAGUGGUA